Molecule: microRNA precursor, 61 nt
Filed under: Pristionchus pacificus
Lineage: Eukaryota; Metazoa; Nematoda; Chromadorea; Rhabditida; Neodiplogasteridae
Description: mir-8364 microRNA precursor family
Rfam family: mir-8364 microRNA precursor family
Source: Rfam by way of RNAcentral
UCUUCAUUUCCUGUACUCUCUCGCCAGUCAGGGUUGAGAGAGAGCAUGUGAAAUGAAGAGA